Molecule: ribosomal RNA, 497 nt
Filed under: uncultured bacterium
Lineage: Bacteria
Description: partial 16S ribosomal RNA
Rfam family: Bacterial small subunit ribosomal RNA
Source: RNAcentral
GAUGAACGCUGGCGGCGUGCCUAAUACAUGCAAGUCGAGCGAACAGACGAGGAGCUUGCUCCUCUGACGUUAGCGGCGGACGGGUGAGUAACACGUGGAUAACCUACCUAUAAGACUGGGAUAACUUCGGGAAACCGGAGCUAAUACCGGAUAAUAUAUUGAACCGCAUGGUUCAAUAGUGAAAGACGGUUUUGCUGCCACUUAUAGAUGGAUCCGCGCCGCAUUAGCUAGUUGGUAAGGUAACGGCUUACCAAGGCGACGAUGCGUAGCCGACCUGAGAGGGUGAUCGGCCACACUGGAACUGAGACACGGUCCAGACUCCUACGGGAGGCAGCAGUAGGGAAUCUUCCGCAAUGGGCGAAAGCCUGACGGAGCAACGCCGCGUGAGUGAUGAAGGUCUUCGGAUCGUAAAACUCUGUUAUUAGGGAAGAACAAAUGUGUAAGUAACUAUGCACGUCUUGACGGUACCUAAUCAGAAAGCCACGGCUAACUACGUG